GAAAUUUGCAGCAGCUGCUCGGGCUGCAAAAGAAGCAGAGGAAUCAAGACCAGAUGUGUUUAGUCUUAUCAAUACUCAGCUUGCAGUGCAUGAAGAAACCAUGAACAACAGCUCAGGAAAUAGGCGGCCAAGUAAGGCAAAAGGGGGAGAGAAGAAAGAAGACAGGAGGGCUCUGGUUGCAUAUGAUGAUGAGAUAAAAGGGUUGAAGAUACAGGCUCAGAAACUGGAAGAAAUGGUGCAGCGAAACAGGAACGAGAAGCCGGUUUAUGACGCUGCUAUGAGGAAGCUAAAUGAAACACGUAAAGCUAUAGCCACUGCUGAAGCUGCUCAUGCAUCUGCAUCAAAUGCAGUUCACAGCAAGGAAAAGGAAAAGAGAUGGCUGAAAUUCUAGAGUAGCUCAUAACUUAUUUUGUAUAACCUGAAUGAUUUUGAGGUCUUUCAGUUCAGUAUGAUGCUUCUGG
RNAcentral lists this unclassified non-coding RNA (461 nucleotides) under Hevea brasiliensis (rubber tree). Lineage: Eukaryota; Viridiplantae; Streptophyta; Magnoliopsida; Malpighiales; Euphorbiaceae. The record is from RNAcentral.